GACGAACGCUGGCGGCGUGCUUAACACAUGCAAGUCGAGCGGUAAGGCCCUUUCGGGGGUACGACGAGCGGCGAACGGGUGAGUAACACGUGGGUGACCUGCCUUUAGCUCUGGGAUAAGCCUGGGAAACUGGGUCUAAUACCGGAUAUGACCCUAUGGCGCAUGUUGUGGGGUGGAAAGCCUUGUGCGGCUAGGGAUGGGCCCGCGGCCUAUCAGCUUGUUGGUGGGGUGAUGGCCUACCAAGGCGACGACGGGUAGCCGGCCUGAGAGGGCGACCGGCCACACUGGGACUGAGACACGGCCCAGACUCCUACGGGAGGCAGCAGUGGGGAAUCUUGCGCAAUGGGCGAAAGCCUGACGCAGCGACGCCGCGUGAGGGAUGACGGCCU
This 389-nucleotide ribosomal RNA is filed under the name uncultured bacterium. RNAcentral describes it as "bacterial SSU rRNA". It matches the Rfam family "Bacterial small subunit ribosomal RNA", at positions 28 to 417 of the family's 1533-position model. The record is from RNAcentral.